RNAcentral lists this transfer RNA (76 nucleotides) under Amphritea atlantica. Its description in RNAcentral is "tRNA-Val". It matches the Rfam family "tRNA". Rfam says of the family: Transfer RNA (tRNA) molecules are approximately 80 nucleotides in length. Their secondary structure includes four short double-helical elements and three loops (D, anti-codon, and T loops). The record is from RNAcentral. Lineage: Bacteria; Pseudomonadati; Pseudomonadota; Gammaproteobacteria; Oceanospirillales; Oceanospirillaceae.
GGGCGUGUAGCUCAGUUGGGAGAGCGUCGCCCUUACAAGGCGAAUGUCGGGAGUUCAAGCCUCUCCACGCCCACCA